Molecule: long non-coding RNA, 936 nt
Organism: Cydia pomonella (codling moth)
Lineage: Eukaryota; Metazoa; Arthropoda; Insecta; Lepidoptera; Tortricidae
Exons: 2
Source: RefSeq, a predicted model, not a curated record
CCCCCCCGUAACUUCUAAAAUAACAGAAUGAAAAAAACUAAAAAAAAUAUAUGAUAUACAUUGUCAUGCAAACUUCCACCGAAAAUUGGUUUGAACGAGAUCUAGUAAGUAUUUUUUUUAAUACGUCAUAAAAUUAAAAAAAAAAUUUUUUUUCAUCAAACCCAUACGUGUGGGGUAUCUAUGGAUAGGUCUUCAAAAAUGAUAUUUAGGUACCUAAUAUCAUUUUUUUCUAAACUGAAUAGUUUGCGCGAGAGACACUUCCAAAGUGGUAAAAUGUGUGUCCAAAGUGGUAAAAUGUUGAACAAGAUCUAGCAAGUAGAUUUUUUUUAAUACGUCUCAAAUGGUACGGAACCCUUCAUGCGCGAGUCCGACUCGCACUUGGCCGCUUUUUUAACUUGCCGUGUUAGUAUUAGUAUUUAGUAAAAUACAAAAAAAAACAUAUUAGUAUGUUUGCCUGUGUUUUAGUUGGUGUGGGUCAAAUCAUGAAAGCUAAAUUUGACCCACUUCUCGAUUUCCGAUUGAGCUGAAAUUUUACAUACGCAUGUAAGUCGACUGACAGCUACACCCAAAAAAAUAAGACAUCAUCAUUCAUCGCCGAACACACAAUUAGCUACUUGACAAUUUUUUGUAAGUAAUGUCAAUCGAUCUUGAUUUUUCUGGGGAUCAAAUGUCGAUAUAAUCUUGACGACCGGUUUGGCCUAGUGGGUAGUGAACUAGUGACCCUACCUACGAAGCUGAUGGCCCGGGUUCAAAUCCUGGUAAGGGCAUUUAUUCGUGUGAUGAGCAUAGAUAUUAGUUCCUGAGUAAUGGGUGUUUUCUAUGUAUUUAAGUAUUUAUAAAUAUUUAUAUAUAUCGUUGUCUAAGUACCCUUAACACAAGCCUUAUUGAGCUUACUGUGGGACUUAGUCAAUUUGUGUAAUAAUGUCCUAUAAUAUU